This 266-nucleotide signal recognition particle RNA is filed under the name Peptostreptococcaceae bacterium. Its description in RNAcentral is "signal recognition particle sRNA large type". It matches the Rfam family "Bacterial large signal recognition particle RNA". Rfam says of the family: The signal recognition particle (SRP) is a universally conserved ribonucleoprotein involved in the co-translational targeting of proteins to membranes. Archaeal SRP consists of a 7S RNA and homologues of the eukaryotic SRP19 and SRP54 proteins. Lineage: Bacteria; Bacillati; Bacillota; Clostridia; Peptostreptococcales; Peptostreptococcaceae. The record is from RNAcentral.
CCGCGCUAGAUGGGGAGAUAGCGGUGCCCUGUAACCUGCAAUCCGCUACAGCAGGAUUGAAUUCCUGUCUUAGGCAUAUAUUUUUUGGGGUCUGCCUGCAGCAAGUAGUGUUGAAAAUCGGGUCCUGCGCAAUGAAAACCUGUGAAUCUGGUCAGGUCCGGAAGGAAGCAGCCAUAAGCGGGACCUUUCAUGUGCCGCAGGGGAUCCUGGUUGGAGCCAACUACUGCAGUAACGCUUGGGGGAUUGUGUCGAAGUCAGGUGCGCGG